UGCGUAGGCGGAAUGAUAAGUUAGUGGUGAAAGCCUCCGGCUCAACCGGAGAACUGCCAUUAAUACUGUCAUUCUUGAGUAUAGUUGAAGUGGGCGGAAUGUAUCAUGUAGCGGUGAAAUGCUUAGAUAUGAUACAGAACACCAAUAGCGUAGGCAGCUUGCUAAACUAUAACUGACGCUCAGGCACGAAAGCGUGGGGAGCAAACAGGAUUAGAUACCCUGGUAGUCC
This 229-nucleotide ribosomal RNA is filed under the name uncultured bacterium. RNAcentral describes it as "partial 16S ribosomal RNA". It matches the Rfam family "Bacterial small subunit ribosomal RNA", at positions 568 to 796 of the family's 1533-position model. The record is from RNAcentral.